RNAcentral lists this ribosomal RNA (1013 nucleotides) under Ralstonia mannitolilytica. RNAcentral's name for it is "bacterial SSU rRNA". It matches the Rfam family "Bacterial small subunit ribosomal RNA", at positions 38 to 1040 of the family's 1533-position model. The record is from RNAcentral. Lineage: Bacteria; Pseudomonadati; Pseudomonadota; Betaproteobacteria; Burkholderiales; Burkholderiaceae.
GGCGGCAUGCUUACACUUGCAAGUCGAACGGCAGCGGGGGAAAGCUUGCUUUCCUGCCGGCGAGUGGCGAACGGGUGAGUAAUACAUCGGAACGUGCCCUGUAGUGGGGGAUAACUAGUCGAAAGAUUAGCUAAUACCGCAUACGACUGAGGGUGAAAGUGGGGGACCGCAAGGCCUCAUGCUAUAGGAGCGGCCGAUGUCUGAUUAGCUAGUUGGUGGGGUAAAGGCCCACCAAGGCGACGAUCAGUAGCUGGUCUGAGAGGACGAUCAGCCACACUGGGACUGAGACACGGCCCAGACUCCUACGGGAGGCAGCAGUGGGGAAUUUUGGACAAUGGGCGAAAGCCUGAUCCAGCAAUGCCGCGUGUGUGAAGAAGGCCUUCGGGUUGUAAAGCACUUUUGUCCGGAAAGAAAUGGCUCUGGUUAAUACCUGGGGUCGAUGACGGUACCGGAAGAAUAAGGACCGGCUAACUACGUGCCAGCAGCCGCGGUAAUACGUAGGGUCCAAGCGUUAAUCGGAAUUACUGGGCGUAAAGCGUGCGCAGGCGGUUGUGCAAGACCGAUGUGAAAUCCCCGAGCUUAACUUGGGAAUUGCAUUGGUGACUGCACGGCUAGAGUGUGUCAGAGGGGGGUAGAAUUCCACGUGUAGCAGUGAAAUGCGUAGAGAUGUGGAGGAAUACCGAUGGCGAAGGCAGCCCCCUGGGAUAACACUGACGCUCAUGCACGAAAGCGUGGGGAGCAAACAGGAUUAGAUACCCUGGUAGUCCACGCCCUAAACGAUGUCAACUAGUUGUUGGGGAUUCAUUUCCUUAGUAACGUAGCUAACGCGUGAAGUUGACCGCCUGGGGAGUACGGUCGCAAGAUUAAAACUCAAAGGAAUUGACGGGGACCCGCACAAGCGGUGGAUGAUGUGGAUUAAUUCGAUGCAACGCGAAAAACCUUACCUACCCUUGACAUGCCACUAACGAAGCAGAGAUGCAUUAGGUGCUCGAAAGAGAAAGUGGACACAGGUG